UAUUUAUAGAGCACCAACCUGGACCUAUCUGGUUUAAUGGCUGGAAUUUCACAACAGACAAGCUGCUCUCUCACACGCUAUCAGCACACAGUGAAACCCCUAACAAGAUAGGGGGGGCAUAUUUGACUCAUAGCUUACUUUAACAAUUGUGUGAGCAAGGACUCUACCAACUUAUUCUUAAAUUAACAUUGUCAAUGAAGUACAAACAUGUAAACUUACUGCAGGGUAUAACAUUUGAACUAUGCUUCAAUGGCAAGUAGAAAUUUAAAGCAUUGUUACUAUAGGUCUGCUUAGCUUCCUAAAGUCCAUAUCAGACAUAAU
Non-coding RNA from Pelobates cultripes (western spadefoot toad), 321 nucleotides. NCBI's taxonomy places the organism in Eukaryota, Metazoa, Chordata, Amphibia, Anura, Pelobatidae. The record is from the annotation of a GenBank genome assembly.